This 395-nucleotide ribosomal RNA is filed under the name uncultured bacterium. RNAcentral's name for it is "partial 16S ribosomal RNA". It matches the Rfam family "Bacterial small subunit ribosomal RNA", at positions 338 to 730 of the family's 1533-position model. The record is from RNAcentral.
CCUACGGGAGGCAGCAGUGAGGAAUAUUGGUCAAUGGGCGCGAGCCUGAACCAGCCAAGUAGCGUGAAGGAUGACUGCCCUACGGGUUGUAAACUUCUUUUAUAAAGGAAUAAAGUGAGGCACGUGUGCCUUUUUGUAUGUACCUUAUGAAUAAGGAUCGGCUAACUCCGUGCAAGCAGCCGCGGUAAUACGGAGGAUCCGAGCGUUAUCCGGAUUUAUUGGGUGUAAAGGGAGCGUAGAUGGGUUGUUAAGUCAGUGGUGAAAGUUUGCGGCUCAACCGUAACAUGGCAAUUGAUACUGGCAGCCUUGAGUAGAGGAGAGGUAGGCGGAAUGCGUGGUGUAGCGGUGAAAUGCAUAGAUAUCACGCAGAACUCCGAUUGCGAAGGCAGCAUGCU